AUCUUGUACUUUGGUGCUAUUUUGUGGUUUAUAAACUGCCCCUACCGAAAAACCCAGGUGUGCCAAACAUAGCAACCUCAGGUGGAGUACCUACAGGGAGUAUUUCUGCGUCCCUGCCAAGAGGGGUUCCAGCUGGAUCAGUUUUACACGACAGGACUUGGACACCUCAGUGUCCUGUCAUGGCUCUGCCCAUCAUGCAGGCCUUGCUUGCCCUCUCCUGCCUCCACCCCUCGGUAGCAGUGGCUGCGAUCACUGCUGCCAGGUUUUCAGCUGUGGUUUGUUACAAGGCAGGUAUUCCCGCUGGCUUGGUUUGAAGAGUUAACUUUUCCUCUACCUCCACGCUGGUUUGCACUCACCUAUGAGGAGAAGCAUUCAGUCUCUCCGUUUUUCUGUUUCUCCAUUUUCAGUGAAUAUUCUUAUAUACAGAAAAACAAAGGAAGUCUCACACAUACAAGGUCUCCAAAAGUCAUUGCUGAGAUAGAAAUGAUCCUCAGGGUGCCCCAGGAAGCUAUCAGCAAUUUUCCUCUGUCGUGUUCAGUUCAGCAUGAAGCCCUGGGAAUUGGCAUAGAGGCAAGCUAAUUUCAAGACCAUCAGUGGUGCUUUCAUUCUGAUCUGGAAGCCAGAUGAGUGCUCAAAAAAAGAAAAAAAAAAUAUGUUAUCUGGUCUGGUUGCCAGCGUGGGUGUCCAAGCAGCCGUGCCAGCUCCCUGAUGGGAGUGCUGCGGAAUAUGGACUGCUGCUAAGAAAAUUCCUGGGAACCACGGUCGCAGUAAGUUGGAGCCACCUGUCACACCGCAGCGCGCUGUCAGCAGCAGCCUGAGAACGUCCCUGCUCGGUGCCUCGGUCACCCACAGGAGCCAGCUGGCUGGCACAGAUAAGGCUGGAAGGAGAUUUCUCUAAUACUAUCAUUCAGCGAUCUGGGAUAAAUACUUCUUUAAUUCUGUUCUGAAGAAUUUGUACUCAAGAGUGCCAGGGAGGGAAACCUUUGGGUUAAACUCAAAAGGCCGAGUGCAUUAUCUGUCAGGAAGCACCUCUGUGCCAUCUGGGCAAUGAGGCAGACAGUGAUAAGGUGGCAUAGCUCUCCUCAUGUGCUUAGUGGGGGAAUACCUUAUCAGCGAAUAAAGUAGAAGCAUUUCACUCGUAUUUCCUUUCCUGGAUUGUACGGACACGAUUACAGAAGUAAAUUACCAGCAAAUAGGUUUACUUUGUGCAACUUUUUUAGUGUUUUAUUAACAACACAGCUUUUUGCAACCACCGCUAAAUUCUUGCAACACUGUAGGGAUAAAACAUCACUUUACACAUAGUCUACUGGACUCAAGCAGGGACUAACAGAUUUGGGGCACCUGGAAAGGGAAAGGGAGGCUCCAGGUCUUGGCUGUCCUUUGGAACAAGCUGCCUGUGCCCGCGGUAUGCCUGGAAUGCACCGGGAAUGGUCUCGGCUUGACAGCACAGGCGCUCCCUUGACUCACUUUAUCACCUGACAAGAAGUGAAAAGGACCAGAAACACAAAUGCUAGCUUAGCAAAAUAGGAAGGAGUUAGGACAUGCCCAGACAGGCUGCCAGCCCAGGAUAUCAGCUUAGAGGCCCUGGCCAGAAGUGUCAGAAACAUCAGCUGGAAGUCAGGCAUCAGGGCUUUUCCUGUCCUGGUUUGGCUGAGAUACCCGCUCAGCAGUCUGGCACCUUUUGAGACCUGCUGUGCAAAGCUGGGCACCAGCUGCCCAGACCUCGCUUCUGCAGCAAGGGCAUCAUCUGGCUUCUUUGUUCCUGGCAUUCUCCAUCACCUUUCUGAAGAGUGUCACUUGCUGGGGGGAAGCUGUGAUUUGCUGCAGUGCAGUGUAAUAUACAUGUUGUUGUAUGCAAUACCAAAAAAAAAAGAUAAUAAAAUUAAAAAAUCAACUCCCUCAGCUCACCCAACAUUGGAAUGUGAGCAAUUCUCUCCUCUUACCCAGAAGCAGCCACCUCAGGAGCUGGUUAUGUGUAAUGCACCAGUCAUAAAGCAGUGGGAGGAUGUUAAAGAUCAAGGAAUGGAGUGGGGGGGGGGCUGGGAGGUAGCCUUGGAAAUGAGUAGUCUUCUCCCACUCGGCAAGCCAGUUCCAUUAUCUGAAUUAGUACAAAAAUACCCACCCACCCCGAGGAAUGCACCAAGUCACUCCCUCCAUGGCAGCUCUCUCUGAUGGGGAGUAAUUGCGUGCUUCUGACAGAGCCCCGAUGGAUCUGCAUGGAGCGCUUGAGUAGGAGGCAGUCCUCUUCUUUCUGAGUAUUUUAUCCGGGAAGAUUUUGAGGAGUUCAAAUUAUUGGGCUUUUGGGAUAUCCCACAGACCAGCUGGAAAUGUGCAGUGGGAGAAGGUCUUAGGCUCUUGCUGAACCAUCACUACAGCACAAAAUGUGGUACCACAUUUCAGAUACAACAUUCUGCAGCGAGCUCAUCCACCUUCUACUGAGGCACGGUGUGAGUGGUGGUGUUGCAGAAGGCCCUGGUCGGGAUGAGGGUUACCAGGCUCCUGUAUGGAUGUGCUUCUGAGAGCACAGCCAGCUCCCAAGAUGCUGUCCUCUGCCUUCCUGUCCAGAAUGCUCCUCUCCUGCUUCUAUCCCAUGAGAGCCACUGUCCACAGAACGUUUGCUGGACCCUGUCCUGAGUGGAAACCUUCCUGUAUGUCAGUACAUUUCAGGACACCAGGAGAAGCUUUCAUACCUCACUCAACCGAUGGCACAUCCACUACUCCCAGUGCAUAUCAUCUCCUGCACUGCUCCUCAGUCCUCCAAGUUUUUUACAACGGCACCAUGCCCAGUCUCACAGGACAGAUGUUCUGGGAACAACUCUAGCAAAAAGGCUGGGAAACAAAGAAUGAGAUUCUGGGAAUCUUCUCCAAGGAACGUGAAGAAAAUCUUUAUCUUUCAAAAAAUCACAUUUCUUCCUUUUCCUCAUUCUUUCUUUGAUAAAUCGUUUUCUAUUUACAGCCAGCACUUUUUAAUGCAUUCUCCCUCCCCCAGCCUACUGGGUUCCUAUUUUCCCCUUCUGACAAUGUUGCCAUAUGGUUCUAUUAUUCAGAGAUUCCUAAACAUGUAUUACAACGGUCCUGAAAAAUAAUUAGGUGCUGCUGUGGUGCAAAAGCACAUCUGUGAUCAAUAGCUCCCACUGGAAAUUAUGGGAUAAAAAGUCCCAAGACACUUUUUCUAUCUUUCUACUUCCUCCCUGCUCUCCCC
Non-coding RNA from Anas platyrhynchos (mallard), 3202 nucleotides. Lineage: Eukaryota; Metazoa; Chordata; Aves; Anseriformes; Anatidae. The record is from RefSeq and is a predicted model, not a curated record.